RNAcentral lists this ribosomal RNA (274 nucleotides) under uncultured Staphylococcus sp. RNAcentral's name for it is "partial 16S ribosomal RNA". It matches the Rfam family "Bacterial small subunit ribosomal RNA", at positions 88 to 355 of the family's 1533-position model. The record is from RNAcentral. Lineage: Bacteria; Bacillati; Bacillota; Bacilli; Caryophanales; Staphylococcaceae.
GACGUUAGCGGCGGACGGGUGAGUAACACGUGGGUAACCUACCUAUAAGACUGGGAUAACUUCGGGAAACCGGAGCUAAUACCGGAUAAUAUUUCUAACCGCAUGGUUCGAUAGUGAAAGAUGGUUUUGCUAUCACUUAUAGAUGGACCCGCGCCGUAUUAGCUAGUUGGUAAGGUAACGGCUUACCAAGGCGACGAUACGUAGCCGACCUGAGAGGGUGAUCGGCCACACUGGAACUGAGACACGGUCCAGACUCCUACGGGAGGCAGCAGUC